GGCCGUAGCUUAGUAAUAGAGCAUCUGCUUUGUGUGCAGAAGGUCUCUGGUUCAAUCCCCAGGGAGGUCU
Non-coding RNA from Podarcis lilfordi (Lilford's wall lizard), 70 nucleotides. The record is from the annotation of a GenBank genome assembly. Lineage: Eukaryota; Metazoa; Chordata; Lepidosauria; Squamata; Lacertidae.